Oncorhynchus tshawytscha (Chinook salmon) is the source of this 1198-nucleotide long non-coding RNA. RefSeq lists it as uncharacterized. The transcript has 4 exons. The record is from RefSeq and is a predicted model, not a curated record. NCBI's taxonomy places the organism in Eukaryota, Metazoa, Chordata, Actinopteri, Salmoniformes, Salmonidae.
AUGCAUUAACACUACACUGUAAUUGUAACACUUAGAUGUGUAAGAUAUUUUAUAGAAGUCCCGCCUUGUGUUUUUCCUACAUUGCUUUGCUGUGUAUAUCAUUAUACGAGAGUUUUUGCCGCUUCCCUUUCAUGAAGAGAAGAGCGAGCGAGUAUCUGGCGAGUUAUGAACAUAACCUGAAGAUUGUCGCCCUUGUUUUGCGAGAUAACAUAGCAUUUGAGGCAUAUCUCCGCUUUAUAGUUAAUGUCGUUUGAUACACUCACAGGAUGGAUGACAAAAUGAUACAGGACACGUGAUCCAACAGAAUGGGCUCUUCUGUGCUGAGCAACAAUACACUCACUGUAUGUAUGGCUUUGCAAUAGGAGUGCCCUGGGCGGUCUCAUGUUUUCAUAGUAAAUUGACUACAAAGAUGGCACUGGAUUCCUUGUGAAACUACAGUACAAAUGUAUAGGAGCAUUUCCUAUCCCUUUGUCCAAUGACAAGUGUUUGUGGAAAACACUACAAAGUAUGUAAUUUUGAGUGACUGAUUAUUUCAGAAAUGUGUGAUGUCUCAGUGUUGUCUUGACUAGAACAUUAUGAAAUUGAAUUUCUUGUGCCAAUGAAGGUUUCACAAACUCAAUUGAAAUGCAUCUAGGGAGUUGUAUUGUUAAAUUCAGUUGCUUUGCUAGUAAACCUAUUUAACUUUUUUCAAAAAAAAAAACGUAACUAUGGUAGCAUGAGAAGUUGAGUGGCCAGGACCAAAGUUUGCAUACAUACAAUACUGUGAAAUGAGUGGAAAUGCAAAAUGCAGCUUUCCUUACAAUGUUACUAUGGCCGGAUUCACUUUAUUCAGAGACUUUUGUCUGAUACAACAUGGUGAAAUGUUAAAACAUAUAAAUCAUGUAGAUUCCAAUAAGGAAGUUGGCACGGAUGGCAGGGGGUGCACUCUAAUGUGAAGUAUGCAACCAAUUGUGCUUGCUACACAACGUACAGUAGGCCUACAGCGAAUGAGUACAUGCAUGUGAUUGAACAUAUGGUCUACGUACAGUACAGAAUGGUCAAGCCACGUUCACUGGAAGUGCCUGAAGAAGGGGGAGAUUAUAUUGGUCCCAUGAUUAUUUGUGGGUGAUUGUGCCUCUGAUGGAGCCGAAGCUCAAUUAGCGCCACCGCAGCAACAUUAAGACUUCGAUUUUGUCUUCAAAAUAAAAGUGGAAAUAUA